Molecule: ribosomal RNA, 497 nt
Filed under: uncultured bacterium
Lineage: Bacteria
Description: partial 16S ribosomal RNA
Rfam family: Bacterial small subunit ribosomal RNA
Source: RNAcentral
GAUGAACGCUGGCGGCGUGCCUAAUACAUGCAAGUCGAGCGAACAGACGAGGAGCUUGCUCCUUUGACGUUAGCGGCGGACGGGUGAGUAACACGUAGGUAACCUACCUAUAAGACUGGGAUAACUUCGGGAAACCGGAGCUAAUACCGGAUAAUAUUUCGAACCGCAUGGUUCGAUAGUGAAAGAUGGCUUUGCUAUCACUUAUAGAUGGACCUGCGCCGUAUUAGCUAGUUGGUAAGGUAACGGCUUACCAAGGCAACGAUACGUAGCCGACCUGAGAGGGUGAUCGGCCACACUGGAACUGAGACACGGUCCAGACUCCUACGGGAGGCAGCAGUAGGGAAUCUUCCGCAAUGGGCGAAAGCCUGACGGAGCAACGCCGCGUGAGUGAUGAAGGUCUUCGGAUCGUAAAACUCUGUUAUUAGGGAAGAACAAACGUGUAAGUAACUGUGCACGUCUUGACGGUACCUAAUCAGAAAGCCGCGGCUAACUACGUG